GAUUGACGAUGGAUCACCAGUGAGUGGCGGACGGGUGAGUAACACGUAGGUAACCUGCCCCGGAGCGGGGGAUAACAUUUGGAAACAGAUGCUAAUACCGCAUAACAACAAAAGUCGCAUGGCUUUUGUUUAAAAGAUGGCUUUGGCUAUCACUCUGGGAUGGACCUGCGGUGCAUUAGCUAGUUGGUAAGGUAACGGCUUACCAAGGCGAUGAUGCAUAGCCGAGUUGAGAGACUG
This 237-nucleotide ribosomal RNA is filed under the name Limosilactobacillus reuteri. RNAcentral's name for it is "partial 16S ribosomal RNA". It matches the Rfam family "Bacterial small subunit ribosomal RNA", at positions 64 to 302 of the family's 1533-position model. Lineage: Bacteria; Bacillati; Bacillota; Bacilli; Lactobacillales; Lactobacillaceae. The record is from RNAcentral.